AUUGAACGCUGGCGGUAUGCUUAACACAUGCAAGUCGAACGGAAACGAUACUAGCUUGCUAGUAGGCGUCGAGUGGCGGACGGGUGAGUAACGCGUAGGAAUCUGCCUGAUAGUGGGGGAUAGCCCGGAGAAAUUCGGAUUAAUACCGCAUAAUCUAUUCGUAGUAAAGUGGGGGACUUUCGAGCCUCACGCUAUCAGAUGAGCCUGCGUAAGAUUAGCUUGUUGGUAGGGUAAAAGCCUACCAAGGCAACGAUCUUUAGCUGGUCUGAGAGGAUGAUCAGCCACAUCGGGACUGAGACACGGCCCGAACUCCUACGGGAGGCAGCAGUGGGGAAUAUUGGACAAUGGGGGCAACCCUGAUCCAGCAAUACCGCGUGUGUGAAGAAGGCCUGAGGGUUGUAAAGCACUUUCAAUUGUGAAGAAAAGUUAACGGUUAAU
This 438-nucleotide ribosomal RNA is filed under the name uncultured bacterium. RNAcentral's name for it is "bacterial SSU rRNA". It matches the Rfam family "Bacterial small subunit ribosomal RNA", at positions 30 to 464 of the family's 1533-position model. The record is from RNAcentral.